GACGAACGCUGGCGGCGUGCUUAAUACAUGCAAGUCGAACGGAAAGGCCCUGCUCUUGCGGGGUGCUCGAGUGGCGCACGGGUGAGUAACACGUGAGUAACCUGCCCUUGACUUUGGGAUAACUUCAGGAAACUGGGGCUAAUACAGGAUAGGAGCUCUUGCUGCAUGGUGGGGGUUGGAAAGUUACGGCGGUUGGGGAUGGACUCGCGGUCUAUCAGCGUGUUGGUGGGGUAGUGGCUUACCAAGGCUCUGACGGGUAGCCGGCCUGGGAGGGUGACCGGGCACAAUGGGACUGAGGUACGACCCAGACGGCUACGGGAGGCAGCAGUGGGGAAUAUUGCACAAUGGGCGGAAGCCUGAUGCAGCAACGCCGCGUGCGGGAUGACGGCCUUCGGGUUGUAAACCUCUUUCGCCUGUAACGAAGCGUGAGUGACGGUAAUGGGUAAAGAAGCACCGGCUAACUACGUG
Molecule: ribosomal RNA, 468 nt
Filed under: uncultured bacterium
Lineage: Bacteria
Description: partial 16S ribosomal RNA
Rfam family: Bacterial small subunit ribosomal RNA
Source: RNAcentral